Molecule: small nuclear RNA, 137 nt
Filed under: Dasypus novemcinctus (nine-banded armadillo)
Lineage: Eukaryota; Metazoa; Chordata; Mammalia; Cingulata; Dasypodidae
Description: U2 spliceosomal RNA (ENSDNOG00000027149.1)
Rfam family: U2 spliceosomal RNA
About the family: U2 is a small nuclear RNA (snRNA) component of the spliceosome (involved in pre-mRNA splicing). Complementary binding between U2 snRNA (in an area lying towards the 5' end but 3' to hairpin I) and the branchpoint sequence (BPS) of the intron results the bulging out of an unpaired adenosine, on the BPS, which initiates a nucleophilic attack at the intronic 5' splice site, thus starting the first of two transesterification reactions that mediate splicing.
Source: RNAcentral
AUCGCUUCUUAGCCUUUUGGCUAAGAUCAAGUGUAGUAUCUGUUCUUAUCAGUCUAAUAUCUGAUAUGUCUUCUAUGUGAGGACAGCAUAUUAAAUUGACUUUUGGAAUAGGGAGGUAGAAAAGGGGCUUAAUUGAA